This 1555-nucleotide long non-coding RNA is filed under the name Monodelphis domestica (gray short-tailed opossum). RNAcentral describes it as "lncRNA (ENSMODG00000036871.1)". Lineage: Eukaryota; Metazoa; Chordata; Mammalia; Didelphimorphia; Didelphidae. The record is from RNAcentral.
CUCAAUACUCAUCUGUCUUGUCCUAUUUCUAGCACUUACCAGUGUUUACCACUCAUUUCUCAUAGAGACACUGUCCCCUGGGCAUCAGUAGUAGGUCAUUGAUCACCUAGUAGAUAUUUCAAACUGGAUGUCUCAGUGAUCUAAAACAUAACAUAUCCAAAACUGAACUCUACUUCUCUCCCCUCUCAUGCCAUUCUUCUUCUAAAUUCGCCAUUUCUAUUGAAGGCAUCACUGUCCUUCAAGUUUCCCAGGUUUAUAACCGCAGCUCUAUCCUCUAUUCUUCGUUCUUCCUCACCCCACAAGCCAAUCAGCUAUCAAAUCCUGCCACUUUUACCUUCAUAAUAUCUUUUAUGACUGGUCUCUUGAACACUCAAAUGGCUCCAGCCUUAAUUCAGGCCCUCAUAUCUUCUCCCUUAUUGCUUAGAUUAUUUUCUUCAUUGGCCACACUGCCUCAAGUCUAUUUUUCAGCACUGGUCCUCAGUUUCCUCUCCUUAAUCGUCAUCUAUUGUGUGAGAGGAGGAAAUCCAGAAACUUUUUUGGUCAUGCAAAGAGCCCAGAAUGGAUGCAAAGAUCACAGCUGCAGCAGUGGGGGAUGGGCAAAGGGAUCUUGGAAUUCUGAGAGAAAGGAAUUCAGAGGGAGACAGUUGGUGUCUGUGUCUUUGGCUUUGAGACUGCUAAGGAAAAGAAACCUCAAGUUCAAUUAAAAAUCAACUAAGAUAGCCAGAACAACAGCCAGAGAGAGAGAAAGAGAAAGGAAGAAAAUAGAACAACCCAUCAUUUCAAGGCCAGUCCAGUCCUGCCCCAACUUCCUCAGGGUGAAACAUUUAUAAACGUGAGGUAUAAAGUCUGGGUGAAUUAGAGAAAGGGAUAGGGGAAAAGAAAGACAUUCCUCCUCCCAUAGCAGUCUAUGGGGGUGAGGAGAGGAAGGCAUUUAACAAGAAGACUCUGCAUUUAUGCCAUCAACCCCAUCCUGGAAUGCAGGAUGUGAAUAGAAGAUGUAGUGGGAAGGGGUGACAAUGAGGCACCUACUUCCCUGGAAUCUCUUUGGGGACUGUGUAGGGAAGAAGGUAUUCUGGAUGCUAGGGACCCCAUAGGCAGAUGGGGUACAAGGAAUUAACAGAAAGAAAAGAGGUUAGAGAAGCUGAGGGGUCACAGAGAGUUGGGAGCUCAGCCAAGAAACCCAUCAAGGUCAUCAUCUUCAAAGUGGCCCUGCUAAAAGACCUUGAUGUUGUCCUCAUUAGAUUUUGAGGACUGACCCUAAAUGGAUAAUGAGGAUAGUUAGCACAUCAAUGCCUUACAUCAGCAGAAGAGACUUCCCUGUCAAUUUCACUUAAAGAAGUAUUUAUAUUACUAAUGAAAUCUCACUAAUCUUCAAAAUACUAAAAUCUAAAAAUAUAAAUUUUCAAUUAAUUUUUCAGCUACAAACCACAUGAAAGAUGACUUUCCUUUUAAUUCUCGAAAAUUUCCUUUUGAUAAUUUUAAUAACUGGGUAAGUUUGUAGUUUUAAAAUUUGCUAAUAUUACUACAUAAUGAAUAAAAUGGGAAAAUUAUAUCA